This is a long non-coding RNA of Hirundo rustica (Barn swallow), 1332 nucleotides long. RefSeq lists it as uncharacterized. The transcript is spliced from 3 exons. NCBI's taxonomy places the organism in Eukaryota, Metazoa, Chordata, Aves, Passeriformes, Hirundinidae. The record is from RefSeq and is a predicted model, not a curated record.
GAAAAAUGCAGAGAAACUUGGGCUGAAGUAGACAAUACAACCGAGCCCUUCACAGAAAGUGAGAAGGACUUGCAAGCAAAGGGGAGCUGAAGGAUUGUCAAAAGAAGACAAAGGACUUUCCAGAAUUUUAUCUAUUUCUUUCAUACCCUGAAGGAAAUUUGCCUUUGCAUAACAGCAGUUUGCCAGGCUACUGAGUGGUUAGCCUGAAAAUAAAUAAAUAAAUAGAGAAAGCCGAGGUGGGCCAGAGGAGCGUAGCACAAUGUUUUAUGCAAGAGCGGUGAAGAACGUGUCGGCCUGUUGUCAGCUAAUUGCUGCUUGUCUCCAGCUCCAUCAGGUCUGAAAGCAUGCUGUUUUCUCUCUGUCCAUAAGGAAGGAAACUUCUUGUGGUCCUGCUGAGAGAGAGAUUGAUGAUGGCUCUGUCCCUUGGUGAGAUGGACAUUGCAACAGGAGCAUUGUCACUGUAACUUCUGCCCAACUGUGAGAUUAGCUGUUUCAAAGGAUUAAUUGGUCAGUACAAGUCUACCUGGUCACUGAACUAAGAAAGGAAGUUACAUCAUUAAGUUAUCCUAAUUAUUAUAAAAUAAGUGAAUCACAGAAGAAUAUUUUAGACUAAGCAUUGUAAAACAAGUUGUUGACAAGGCAGAUACAGUGCUUCUUUUUAUUCUAAAGUACAGUGGGCACUGUAACUUAAUUGAAAAUAACCAUUCAAUCAUGUUGAUAAGGCAUAUGUAUGUCACUGUAAUUCUCAAAAUCCUGUGGUUUUUAAUGUCUCUCAGUCUUUCGGGUGAAUUGUCAGCUACUGCUGUGUGAUAGAUAAUCUGUGAACUCUUUUUACAUCAAAGUUACCUAAAACAUACACUGUAUGAAGUUUUGCUAUCUUCUUUUUGUCGCUGUACCUUUAUCACUAAAGUACUGUCGACCUGGUAUCUAACCCAAUUGAUACUGUGUUAAAAUUCUUGCUGUGACAGUCAUCAGUCUUAUUUUUAUGAUCUUGGAACACCAGGUUAGUGGACUUACAUGAGGUUAAUGGGGCUUUAAGAAAAUGUUACAUUUCUUUGGCACAAGAUAAGGUUCCCUUCUGAUGGGAGUCCUGUCACUUUUUAAGAUAUAACAACUUUCUCUGUCAUAGUUAUUAGUCUGUGCGAAAUGAUUUAUAGUUUUUCCUUGGCUUGCCUGCUGAAUCUUAGGAAAAAAAAUAAAUCUUAUGGCAUAUGCCAAUCGUUUGCCUUUUGGUAUGCAUGUAGAAAUAUGUAUUACUACAAGAGCUAGUGAAAGCACUCAGAUAGAACCAGAAAAGCUGUGCUGAUGACAGAGAGCAGUGCUCAGUUCCUG